Long non-coding RNA from Rhagoletis zephyria (snowberry fruit fly), 108 nucleotides. RefSeq lists it as uncharacterized. The record is from RefSeq and is a predicted model, not a curated record. Lineage: Eukaryota; Metazoa; Arthropoda; Insecta; Diptera; Tephritidae.
CUUAUCCAUUCGUCCUGAAAUUUACUAGCCAGAAAUGCGAUUGCUUUACAAAAGAAAGAACCAUUUUGAAAUACCAGUGUUUUUACUUUCUAAAAAAUAAAUUAUGCA